RNAcentral lists this transfer RNA (72 nucleotides) under Ganoderma leucocontextum. RNAcentral's name for it is "tRNA-Cys". It matches the Rfam family "tRNA". Rfam says of the family: Transfer RNA (tRNA) molecules are approximately 80 nucleotides in length. Their secondary structure includes four short double-helical elements and three loops (D, anti-codon, and T loops). Further hydrogen bonds mediate the characteristic L-shaped molecular structure. tRNAs have two regions of fundamental functional importance: the anti-codon, which is responsible for specific mRNA codon recognition, and the 3' end, to which the tRNAs corresponding amino acid is attached (by aminoacyl-tRNA synthetases). tRNAs cope with the degeneracy of the genetic code in two manners: having more than one tRNA (with a specific anti-codon) for a particular amino acid; and 'wobble' base-pairing, i.e. permitting non-standard base-pairing at the 3rd anti-codon position. Lineage: Eukaryota; Fungi; Basidiomycota; Agaricomycetes; Polyporales; Polyporaceae. The record is from RNAcentral.
GACCGGAUAGCUCAGUGGUAGAGCAUCUGGAUGCAAACCAGAAGGUCCUGGGUUCAAUCCCUGGUCUGGUCA